AGUGUUAGAGUAGUAUAGUUAUGGUCUAAAAACUUAAAGAAUUUGGCGGUAUUUUACUCUAUUCAGAGGAACUUGUUUUUUAAUUGAUAAUCCUCAAUUUAUCUUACUUAUGAUUAUGAAGUUUGUAUAUCGUUGUCAGAGGAAUAUCUUUAAAAAGAAAAAAUUUUCUUAAUUAUUAAUAUUUAUAGGAAUAUUUCUAGUUAUGUCAGAUCAAGGUGCAGCUUAUAUUUAAGUUAAAAUGAGUUACAAUUAAUUUAUUAAUAUGGAUUAAAAGAUUAAAAUUUUUAUGAAGGUGGAUUUGAUAGUAAAUUAUUUAAGAGUGAAUAGUUGAUUUUAGUUCUAAAAUAUGU
RNAcentral lists this ribosomal RNA (350 nucleotides) under Isoneuromyia sp. JSK29. Its description in RNAcentral is "partial 12S ribosomal RNA". The record is from RNAcentral. Lineage: Eukaryota; Metazoa; Arthropoda; Insecta; Diptera; Keroplatidae.